Molecule: non-coding RNA, 111 nt
Organism: Acanthosepion pharaonis
Lineage: Eukaryota; Metazoa; Mollusca; Cephalopoda; Sepiida; Sepiidae
Source: the annotation of a GenBank genome assembly
UGGCCAUAUAAUGUUAAAACAGUGGUUUUGAUACAAUCACCAAAGUUAAGCAACAUCAAGCCUGGUCAGUACCUAGAUGGGUGAUCGCUUGGGAAUACCAGGUGCUGUAAG